GCGAGCGUUAAUCGGAAUUACUGGGCGUAAAGCGCAUGCAGGUGGUUUGUUAAGGUCAGAUGUGAAAGACCCGGGGCGUCAACCUCGGAACUGCAUUUGAAACUGGCAGACUAGAGUACUGUAGAGGGGGGUAGGAAUUUCAGGUGUAGCGGUGAAAUGCGUAGAGAUCUGAAGGAAUACCGGUGGCGAAGGCGGCCCCCUCGGACAGAUACUGACACUCAGAUGCGAAAGCGUGGGGAGCAAACAGGAUUAGAUACCCUGGUAG
Molecule: ribosomal RNA, 265 nt
Filed under: uncultured bacterium
Lineage: Bacteria
Description: partial 16S ribosomal RNA
Rfam family: Bacterial small subunit ribosomal RNA
Source: RNAcentral